AUACAUGCAAGUCGAACGAGUUCUGAUUAUUGAAAGGUGCUUGCAUCUUGAUUUAAUUUUGAACGAGUGGCGGACGGGUGAGUAACACGUGGGUAACCUGCCCUUAAGUGGGGGAUAACAUUUGGAAACAGAUGCUAAUACCGCAUAAAUCCAAGAACCGCAUGGUUCUUGGCUGAAAGAUGGCGUAAGCUAUCGCUUUUGGAUGGACCCGCGGCGUAUUAGCUAGUUGGUGAGGUAACGGCUCACCAAGGCAAUGAUACGUAGCCGAACUGAGAGGUUGAUCGGCCACAUUGGGACUGAGACACGGCCCAAACUCCUACGGGAGGCAGCAGUAGGGAAUCUUCCACAAUGGACGCAAGUCUGAUGGAGCAACGCCGCGUGAGUGAAGAAGGCUUUCGGGUCGUAAAACUCUGUUGUUGGAGAAGAAUGGUCGGCAGAGUAACUGUUGUCGGCGUGACGGUAUCCAACCAGAAAGCCACGGCUAACUACGUGCCAGCAGCCGCGGUAAUACGUAGGUGGCAAGCGUUAUCCGGAUUUAUUGGGCGUAAAGCGAGCGCAGGCGGUUUUUUAAGUCUGAUGUGAAAGCCCUCGGCUUAACCGAGGAAGUGCAUCGGAAACUGGGAAACUUGAGUGCAGAAGAGGACAGUGGAACUCCAUGUGUAGCGGUGAAAUGCGUAGAUAUAUGGAAGAACACCAGUGGCGAAGGCGGCUGUCUGGUCUGUAACUGACGCUGAGGCUCGAAAGCAUGGGUAGCGAACAGGAUUAGAUACCCUGGUAGUCCAUGCCGUAAACGAUGAAUGCUAGGUGUUGGAGGGUUUCCGCCCUUCAGUGCCGCAGCUAACGCAUUAAGCAUUCCGCCUGGGGAGUACGACCGCAAGGUUGAAACUCAAAGGAAUUGACGGGGGCCCGCACAAGCGGUGGAGCAUGUGGUUUAAUUCGAAGCAACGCGAAGAACCUUACCAGGUCUUGACAUCUUUUGAUCACCUGAGAGAUCAGGUUUCCCCUUCGGGGGCAAAAUGACAGGUGGUGCAUGGUUGUCGUCAGCUCGUGUCGUGAGAUGUUGGGUUAAGUCCCGCAACGAGCGCAACCCUUAUGACUAGUUGCCAGCAUUUAGUUGGGCACUCUAGUAAGACUGCCGGUGACAAACCGGAGGAAGGUGGGGAUGACGUCAAAUCAUCAUGCCCCUUAUGACCUGGGCUACACACGUGCUACAAUGGAUGGUACAACGAGUUGCGAGACCGCGAGGUCAAGCUAAUCUCUUAAAGCCAUUCUCAGUUCGGACUGUAGGCUGCAACUCGCCUACACGAAGUCGGAAUCGCUAGUAAUCGCGGAUCAGCACGCCGCGGUGAAUACGUUCCCGGGCCUUGUACACACCGCCCGUCACACCAUGAGAGUUUGUAACACCCGAAGCCGGUGGCGUAACCCUUUUAGGGAGCGAGCCGUCUAAGGUGGGACAAAUGAUUAGGGUGA
RNAcentral lists this ribosomal RNA (1470 nucleotides) under Lacticaseibacillus rhamnosus. Its description in RNAcentral is "bacterial SSU rRNA". It matches the Rfam family "Bacterial small subunit ribosomal RNA". Lineage: Bacteria; Bacillati; Bacillota; Bacilli; Lactobacillales; Lactobacillaceae. The record is from RNAcentral.